This 1133-nucleotide long non-coding RNA is filed under the name Fukomys damarensis (Damara mole-rat). RNAcentral describes it as "lncRNA (ENSFDAG00000022033.1)". Lineage: Eukaryota; Metazoa; Chordata; Mammalia; Rodentia; Bathyergidae. The record is from RNAcentral.
CCUAACUGUUUACCCUCUCAUCCUCUCACAGGAUAUUGUGACCCAUUUCACACUACAACAGCCAUUGAUAUCCUAAGUCUUGUUAUAUUAAUAUUUCUGGGACUUGUCCUUGGGAUAGGAUUGGCCACAGUAUCUCCUCCCAAUUAUAAUUUUACUUCCAGGUGUUUACUCUCAUUGACCUAUUACCUCAUAAUCUCAUUCUUUGCCAUUCUUAAUUACUGGAAACAAUAAUGGUUCCUCUCCUGCUCCUGUUUUCUCUCCUAAACCUUACCCAAGCCGAUAGAUCCCUGAUAUAUACCUUGACUCUCUCCCAGCCUAACUCAGCCCUCCUUCAGACCUAGGUAUGAUCUCCUAAAAUCACAUUCCAGGCCACCUUAUGCCAGUUCUUUGACCAAAUCAUCAAAUUCCUGCCACUCUUCAGACUGGCCCACAGCUGAUUUCUGCUGCCCUUUCCGUAUCUACCUAUACAGUUGCCCCCUGUGUUCUCCAUCUUAUUCAAUCCCAGGUCAGUCGCCUCUUCACUCAAGUCUCCUGACAGAUGGCCCACCAGCUGAUACUUCAGGCCAGAGACCCCAGUGAGACCACCGUGUUACAUGACAGCCAACCAACUAACCAUAGCUCUGAUCUUGGCUCAAUGAAGCCCAACCAACAAUCCAAUGAUAAUGCUGCUGCUGUCAACAAUUCCAUGUUCAUAAAGGACAACUCAGCCGGCCAACCUCCAUGCCUGCCCCCUAGGUUGAUUCAUCGCCCCAAUUCAGCAGGAAGUAGAUACAGAAGACAGACUCUCUGCCCCUUUUUCUGCCUGCCAUGGACAUGUUGGCUGUUGAUUGUCAUCCAAAAUCAAAGAGUGGGGAAUGUUAGGAAAUAGCACAUGUUAAAAUAUAACCCCCCCAGCCAUUUUAUAUCUUACUUCCGGGAUCUUUCCUGACUCUGAGUCCUUUCUCCCACCAAAAUUGUAAAGCGUGAAAUUCAAAAGACAACCUGGCUUGCGAUAGGAUAACAAAGACCACUUCUCCCAAGGAAGGAUCUUCCAUUGCUUGUCCUAUAAAUAUCCCAGUACUUCCUCUUCUUGCUCUCUCGCUCUCUCUGCUUUCCUGCCUUCCUCUCGCCUCCCUACAAUAAAGAUCUCCUGC